This is a long non-coding RNA of Triticum aestivum (bread wheat), 365 nucleotides long. RefSeq lists it as uncharacterized. Lineage: Eukaryota; Viridiplantae; Streptophyta; Magnoliopsida; Poales; Poaceae. The transcript is spliced from 3 exons. The record is from RefSeq and is a predicted model, not a curated record.
CGACGCAGCCACGGGCUGGACAAAACUUGAUUAGCUUAUUACUGCAUCAAUAAUUUGUGCCUGUGGGACUCUUUCACAAAUCAUGUCAACGAGACUAGCAAUUUGAAGAGGCUGCUGCACAUGAUAUGAAGAUAUUGGCAUAUACAGUCCUAAACAUAAGUUUCAAAAUAGCAGGUGUGGAGUUUAGCCCUGUUCCGCUGUAUGGAAAGCCAUGACCUCCACACAGAUGAUGCAAGAGGAAACAAGCUAGACUCACAACUUUGGUUUUCAGGCAUCUUCACCAACAAAUAUUACCCUGCAAAUCAAGGACUUUAGAGCCCGGCCGCAGACCUCACGGAGCACCAACGAUAGCCUCAAGGUGAUUC